GAACGCUGGCGGCGUGCCUAAUACAUGCAAGUCGAGCGAACAGAUAAGGAGCUUGCUCCUUUGACGUUAGCGGCAGACGGGUGAGUAACACGUGGGUAACCUACCUAUAAGACUGGAAUAACUCCGGGAAACCGGGGCUAAUGCCGGAUAAUAUUUAGAACCGCAUGGUUCUAAAGUGAAAGAUGGUUUUACUAUCACUUAUAGAUGGACCCGCGCCGUAUUAGCUAGUUGGUGGGGUAAUGGCUUACCAAGGCAACGAUACGUAGCCGACCUGAGAGGGUGAUCGGCCACACUGGAACUGAGACACGGUCCAGACUCCUACGGGAGGCAGUAGUAGGGAAUCUUCCGCAAUGGGCGAAAGCCUGACGGAGCAACGCCGCGUGAGUGAUGAAGGUCUUCGGAUCGUAAAACUCUGUUAUUAGGGAAGAACAAAUGUGUAAGUAACUGUGCACGUCUUGACGGUACCUAAUCAGAAAGCCACGGCUAACUACGUGCCAGCAGCCGCGGUAAUA
Molecule: ribosomal RNA, 512 nt
Filed under: uncultured bacterium
Lineage: Bacteria
Description: bacterial SSU rRNA
Rfam family: Bacterial small subunit ribosomal RNA
Source: RNAcentral